This 1352-nucleotide ribosomal RNA is filed under the name Ichthyosporidium sp. Its description in RNAcentral is "Microsporidia small subunit ribosomal RNA". It matches the Rfam family "Microsporidia small subunit ribosomal RNA". Lineage: Eukaryota; Fungi; Microsporidia; Nosematidae. The record is from Rfam by way of RNAcentral.
CACCAGGUUGAUUCUGCCUGACGUGGAUGCUAGUCUCUAAAGUUAAGCCAUGGAUGUCUAAGCAAAGCGUAAGUCGAGCGGCACAGGCUCAGUAACGGGCGAAUAUUUAAUCUCCUCGAGUGGAUAUCCUCUGUAACCGGAGGGCAAAACACAGGACGUGCAGUUGUAUAAGGAUUGUUCGUUUAACAUUAGUGGGGGAGAGUAAGACGCCAGUCCAUCAGUUAGUAAGUAGGGUAAGGGCCUACUUAGACGAAUACGGAUACGGGGAAUUAUCGUUUGAUUCCGGAGAGGGAGCCUGAGAGACGGCUACCGGGUCCAAGGACAACAGCAGGCGCGAAAAUUACCGCAGCCUGCAUUCAGGUCGGUAGUAAGGAGACGUGUAAACGAUGUGCAGGUAAAGAAUGCACUGUAUACAGGAGGACAAGACUGGUGCCAGCACCCGCUGUAAUACCAGCUCCUGGAGUGUCUAUGAUGAUUGCUGCAGUUAAAGCGUUCGUAGUCGAACCGGGUUGAAUUGCGUGACAGUCAGACUCUCAAGGUGUGAUGAGCGCUGUGAUUCUGGGGAAUAAGGAGUGUUUAGGGGCCAGGGUAUUAAACGGCAAGCGGUGAAAUGUGUUGACCCGUUUAUGGAGCGACAGAGGCGAAAGGCUGGCCAGGGGCAAAUCCGAUGAUAAAGGACGUAGGCUAGAGGAUCGAAGACGAUUAGAGACCGUUGUAGUUCUAGCAGUAAACAAUGCCGAUGUUGUGGUGCCGUAACGGACGCAAAAGAGAAAUCUAGUAGGGCCCUGGGGAGAGUACACGCGCAACAGGAAAUUUAAAGGAAAUUGACGGAAGAACACCACAAGGAGUGGAGUGUGCGGCUUAAUUUGACUCAACGCGGGACACCUUACCGGGCCCACGGCCACACGAGUGUGACACACGAUAGCCGAGGAGUGGUGCAUGGCCCGUUAACGACAAGUGAGUGAUCUUUGGGUUAAGUCCGUAAAUUAGUGAGACCCCAGCAAAGGACAGGUGCGCAAAGCACAGGAAGGAUGGGUCAAGGACAGGUCAGUGAUGCCCUUAGAUGGUCCGGGCUGCACGCGCACUACAGUGGUCGCCGAAAUUUAGAUAUAGAGCUAAAGGCGAUCGAGAGGGAAUGAGCUUUGGAAGAGGCUCAGGAACGUGGAAUUGCUAGUAAUCGCGGACUCAUUAAGACGCGAUGAAUACGUCCCUGUUCUUUGUACACACCGCCCGUCGUUAUCGAAUACGGUGCUCGGCGCGAGCAAGGUGAAAUCACUGAGCGAGCGCAAGGUACCGGAUCUGAUACAAGUCGUAACAAGGUAGCUGUAGGAGAACCAUUAGCAGGAUCAUAA